RNAcentral lists this ribosomal RNA (440 nucleotides) under uncultured bacterium. Its description in RNAcentral is "partial 16S ribosomal RNA". It matches the Rfam family "Bacterial small subunit ribosomal RNA", at positions 338 to 795 of the family's 1533-position model. The record is from RNAcentral.
CCUACGGGCGGCAGCAGUGGGGAAUAUUGCACAAUGGGGGAAACCCUGAUGCAGCGACGCCGCGUGAGUGAAGAAGUAAUUCGUUAUGUAAAGCUCUAUCAGCAGGGAAGAAAAUGACGGUACCUGAGUCAGGAGCCCCGGCUAACUACGUGCCAGCAGCCGCGGUAAUACGUAGGGGGCAAGCGUUAUCCGGAUUUACUGGGUGUAAAGGGAGCGUAGACGGCAGUGCAAGUCUGGAGUGAAAGGCGGGGGCUCAACCCCCGGACUGCUCUGGAAACUGUACGGCUGGAGUGCAGGAGAGGUAAGUGGAAUUCCUAGUGUAGCGGUGAAAUGCGUAGAUAUUAGGAGGAACACCAGUGGCGAAGGCGGCUUACUGGACUGUAACUGACGUUGAGGCUCGAAAGCGUGGGGAGCAAACAGGAUUAGAUACCCCUGUAGUC